ACGCUGGCGGCAGGCCUAACACAUGCAAGUCGAGCGGUAGAGAGAAGCUUGCUUCUCUUGAGAGCGGCGGACGGGUGAGUAAUGCCUAGGAAUCCGCCUGGUAGUGGGGGAUAACGCUCGGAAACGGACGCUAAUACCGCAUACGUCCUACGGGAGAAAGCAGGGGACCUUCGGGCCUUGCGCUAUCAGAUGAGCCUAGGUCGGAUUAGCUAGUUGGUGAGGUAAUGGCUCACCAAGGCGACGAUCCGUAACUGGUCUGAGAGGAUGAUCAGUCACACUGGAACUGAGACACGGUCCAGACUCCUACGGGAGGCAGCAGUGGGGAAUAUUGGACAAUGGGCGAAAGCCUGAUCCAGCCAUGCCGCGUGUGUGAAGAAGGUCUUCGGAUUGUAAAGCACUUUAAGUUGGGAGGAAGGGCAGUUACCUAAUACGUAUCUGUUUUGACGUUACCGACAGAAUAAGCACCGGCUAACUCUGUGCCAGCAGCCGCGGUAAUACAGAGGGUGCAAGCGUUAAUCGGAAUUACUGGGCGUAAAGCGCGCGUAGGUGGUUUGUUAAGUUGGAUGUGAAAUCCCCGGGCUCAACCUGGGAACUGCAUUCAAAACUGACAAGCUAGAGUAUGGUAGAGGGUGGUGGAAUUUCCUGUGUAGCGGUGAAAUGCGUAGAUAUAGGAAGGAACACCAGUGGCGAAGGCGACCACCUGGACUGAUACUGACACUGAGGUGCGAAGCGUGGGGAGCAAACAG
Molecule: ribosomal RNA, 746 nt
Filed under: uncultured bacterium
Lineage: Bacteria
Description: bacterial SSU rRNA
Rfam family: Bacterial small subunit ribosomal RNA
Source: RNAcentral